This is an RNA transcript of Colossoma macropomum (tambaqui), 562 nucleotides long. It is a transcript of the gene named retinol binding protein 2b, cellular, with no coding region annotated. The record is from RefSeq and is a predicted model, not a curated record. The transcript has 4 exons. Lineage: Eukaryota; Metazoa; Chordata; Actinopteri; Characiformes; Serrasalmidae.
ACACUGCGCACUCUCCUCUCCUAACACAGUGUUUCUGCCCAAAGUCCACCGCUCAGCACCAUGCCUGUCGACUUCAAUGGGAGAUGGGUGAUGGAGACCAACGACAACUUUGAGGACUUCAUGAAAGUACUGAACAUUGAUUUGGCCACACGCAAGAUUGCCAUCCACCUCUCUCAGACCAAGGUCAUUAUCCAGGACGGGGACAAGUUUGUGAUGAAGACCCUCAGCAUCUUCCGGAAUUACGAGAUGAGCUUCACGAUCGGAGAGGAGAUUGAGGAGUACACUAAGGGCCUUGACAACCGGGUGGUUAAGGCCUGUCUCAACAGACCCUGAUCACCUGGGAGGGCGAUAAAUUGGUGUGCACACAAAGAGGUGAGAAGGCCAACCGCGGAUGGAAGCACUGGAUAGAGGGAGAUAAACUACACUUGGAGCUGUUUUGUGAAGGAGUUGUUUGUCAUCAAGUGUUUAAGAAACAAGCUUAGUGGUCGCACUCCAUGGUCACUGGAAAAUAACUGUAUUGACCCUUUUUAUCAAUAAAGAAACCACUGAAUAGAGCCUUAAA